UACGGGGGGGGCAAGCGUUGUUCGGAAUUACUGGGCGUAAAGGGCUUGUAGGUGGCCAACUAAGUCAGACGUGAAAUCCCUCGGCUUAACCGGGGAACUGCGUCUGAUACUGGAUGGCUUGAGUGUGGGAGAGGGAUGCGGAAUUCCAGGUGUAGCGGUGAAAUGCGUAGAUAUCUGGAGGAACACCUGAGGCGAAGGCGGGCUACUGGGCCGAUACUGACGCUGAUGCGCGAAAGCCAGGGGAGCGAACGGG
This 253-nucleotide ribosomal RNA is filed under the name uncultured bacterium. RNAcentral describes it as "partial 16S ribosomal RNA". It matches the Rfam family "Bacterial small subunit ribosomal RNA", at positions 524 to 776 of the family's 1533-position model. The record is from RNAcentral.